UGAACGCUGGCGGCGUGCCUAAUACAUGCAAGUCGAGCGAACAGACGAGGAGCUUGCUCCUCUGACGUUAGCGGCGGACGGGUGAGUAACACGUGGAUAACCUACCUAUAAGACUGGGAUAACUUCGGGAAACCGGAGCUAAUACCGGAUAAUAUAUUGAACCGCAUGGUUCAAUGGUGAAAGACGGUUUUGCUGUCACUUAUAGAUGGAUCCGCGCCGCAUUAGCUAGUUGGUAAGGUAACGGCUUACCAAGGCGACGAUGCGUAGCCGACCUGAGAGGGUGAUCGGCCACACUGGAACUGAGACACGGUCCAGACUCCUACGGGAGGCAGCAGUAGGGAAUCUUCCGCAAUGGGCGAAAGCUUGACGGAGCAACGCCGCGUGAGUGAUGAAGGUCUUCGGAUCGUAAAACUCUGUUAUUAGGGAAGAACAAAUGUGUAAGUAACUAUGCACGUCUUGACGGUACCUAAUCAGAAAGCCACGGCUAACUACGUG
RNAcentral lists this ribosomal RNA (495 nucleotides) under uncultured bacterium. Its description in RNAcentral is "partial 16S ribosomal RNA". It matches the Rfam family "Bacterial small subunit ribosomal RNA", at positions 30 to 507 of the family's 1533-position model. The record is from RNAcentral.